UGAGGAAUAUUGGUCAAUGGGCGAGAGCCUGAACCAGCCAUCCCGCGUGAAGGAAGAAGGCGCUAUGCGUUGUAAACUUCUUUUUCAGGGGGAUAAAAUUCUGUAUGAAUACGGAACUGAAGGUACCCUGAGAAUAAGCAUCGGCUAACUCCGUGCCAGCAGCCGCGGUAAUACGGAGGAUGCGAGCGUUAUCCGGAUUUAUUGGGUUUAAAGGGUGCGUAGGCGGAAGAAUAAGUCAGUGGUGAAACCCUGCAGCUUAACUGUAGACUUGCCAUUGAUACUGUUUUUCUUGAGUAUGGUCAAGGCAGGCGGAAUGUGUAAUGUAGCGGUGAAAUGCUUAGAUAUUACACAGAACACCGAUAGCGAAGGCAGCUUGCUGGGCCGUUACUGACGCUGAUGCACGAAAGCGUGGGGAUCGAACAGG
Molecule: ribosomal RNA, 424 nt
Filed under: uncultured Bacteroidota bacterium
Lineage: Bacteria; Pseudomonadati; Bacteroidota
Description: bacterial SSU rRNA
Rfam family: Bacterial small subunit ribosomal RNA
Source: RNAcentral